This 253-nucleotide ribosomal RNA is filed under the name uncultured bacterium. RNAcentral's name for it is "partial 16S ribosomal RNA". It matches the Rfam family "Bacterial small subunit ribosomal RNA", at positions 524 to 776 of the family's 1533-position model. The record is from RNAcentral.
UACGUAGGUGGCAAGCGUUGUUCGGAAUUACUGGGCGUAAAGCGCGUGUAGGCGGCUCUUCAAGUCAGGCGUGAAAGCCCCGGGCUUAACUCGGGAACUGCGCUUGAUACUGUCGAGCUAGAGUGUGGAAGGGGCGAUUGGAAUUCCGUGUGUAGCGGUGAAAUGCGUAGAUAUCAGGAGGAACACCGGUGGCGAAGGCGGGUCUCUGGGCAACAACUGACGCUGAGGAGCGAAAGCGUGGGGAGCGAACAGG